GAAAAGAUCGGGAAAGUUUUAUUGAGGAACUGUUUUUCCAGGAACCCCUGGCAUGGUUACAUCUGGAGAACCACAGCAUGAACAAGAUUAUGGAGAAAGGAAUCAGCGUUGUUUAUAUGGGGAACCAUGAGAAACCCCGUGCAGCUGGAGUGGCGGCCUCGCAUAUCAAAUAGACAGAGGCAUUUUUCCACUGUGGACACCAGACCAGGUAUGGACAGAAUGCAAAGGAGACUCCAAGUCUGUCUGGAUUUUGUUUUCUGAAAGCUGAAGUCUAGAAGAAUUUGAAGAAAUGAUGGAAGAGUUUAAAAAAAAAAGAAUGAUGCUUGAAAGGUAUGGAACUUUCUGAGGGUCUUGCUCUAUCACCCAGGCUGG
This 372-nucleotide long non-coding RNA is filed under the name Homo sapiens (human). RNAcentral describes it as "HSALNT0312893". Lineage: Eukaryota; Metazoa; Chordata; Mammalia; Primates; Hominidae. The record is from RNAcentral.